RNAcentral lists this ribosomal RNA (1393 nucleotides) under Staphylococcus aureus. RNAcentral describes it as "bacterial SSU rRNA". It matches the Rfam family "Bacterial small subunit ribosomal RNA", at positions 56 to 1431 of the family's 1533-position model. The record is from RNAcentral. Lineage: Bacteria; Bacillati; Bacillota; Bacilli; Caryophanales; Staphylococcaceae.
UGCAGUCGAGCGACGUGACCAGAAGCUUGCUUCUCUGAUGUUAGCGGCGGACGGGUGAGUAACACGUGGAUAACCUACCUAUAAGACUGGGAUAACUUCGGGAAACCGGAGCUAAUACCGGAUAAUAUUUUGAACCGCAUGGUUCAAAAGUGAAAGACGGUCUUGCUGUCACUUAUAGAUGGAUCCGCGCUGCAUUAGCUAGUUGGUAAGGUAACGGCUUACCAAGGCAACGAUGCAUAGCCGACCUGAGAGGGUGAUCGGCCACACUGGAACUGAGACACGGUCCAGACUCCUACGGGAGGCAGCAGUAGGGAAUCUUCCGCAAUGGGCGAAAGCCUGACGGAGCAACGCCGCGUGAGUGAUGAAGGUCUUCGGAUCGUAAAACUCUGUUAUUAGGGAAGAACAUAUGUGUAAGUAACUGUGCACAUCUUGACGGUACCUAAUCAGAAAGCCACGGCUAACUACGUGCCAGCAGCCGCGGUAAUACGUAGGUGGCAAGCGUUAUCCGGAAUUAUUGGGCGUAAAGCGCGCGUAGGCGGUUUUUUAAGUCUGAUGUGAAAGCCCACGGCUCAACCGUGGAGGGUCAUUGGAAACUGGAAAACUUGAGUGCAGAAGAGGAAAGUGGAAUUCCAUGUGUAGCGGUGAAAUGCGCAGAGAUAUGGAGGAACACCAGUGGCGAAGGCGACUUUCUGGUCUGUAACUGACGCUGAUGUGCGAAAGCGUGGGGAUCAAACAGGAUUAGAUACCCUGGUAGUCCACGCCGUAAACGAUGAGUGCUAAGUGUUAGGGGGUUUCCGCCCCUUAGUGCUGCAGCUAACGCAUUAAGCACUCCGCCUGGGGAGUACGACCGCAAGGUUGAAACUCAAAGGAAUUGACGGGGACCCGCACAAGCGGUGGAGCAUGUGGUUUAAUUCGAAGCAACGCGAAGAACCUUACCAAAUCUUGACAUCCUUUGACAACUCUAGAGAUAGAGCUUUCCCCUUCGGGGGACAAAGUGACAGGUGGUGCAUGGUUGUCGUCAGCUCGUGUCGUGAGAUGUUGGGUUAAGUCCCGCAACGAGCGCAACCCUUAAGCUUAGUUGCCAUCAUUAAGUUGGGCACUCUAAGUUGACUGCCGGUGACAAACCGGAGGAAGGUGGGGAUGACGUCAAAUCAUCAUGCCCCUUAUGAUUUGGGCUACACACGUGCUACAAUGGACAAUACAAAGGGCAGCGAAACCGCGAGGUCAAGCAAAUCCCAUAAAGUUGUUCUCAGUUCGGAUUGUAGUCUGCAACUCGACUACAUGAAGCUGGAAUCGCUAGUAAUCGUAGAUCAGCAUGCUACGGUGAAUACGUUCCCGGGUCUUGUACACACCGCCCGUCACACCACGAGAGUUUGUAACACCCGAAGCCGGU